GACGAACGCUGGCGGCGUGCCUAAUACAUGCAAGUUGAGCGAUGAAGAUUGGUGCUUGCACCAAUUUGAAGAGCAGCGAACGGGUGAGUAACGCGUGGGGAAUCUGCCUUUGAGCGGGGGACAACAUUUGGAAACGAAUGCUAAUACCGCAUAACAACUUUAAACAUAAGUUUUAAGUUUGAAAGAUGCAAUUGCAUCACUCAAAGAUGAUCCCGCGUUGUAUUAGCUAGUUGGUGAGGUAAAGGCUCACCAAGGCGAUGAUACAUAGCCGACCUGAGAGGGUGAUCGGCCACAUUGGGACUGAGACACGGCCCAAACUACUACGGGAGGCAGAAGUAGGGAAUCUUCGGCAAUAGACGAAAGUCUGACCGAGCAACGCCGCGUGAGUGAAGAAGGUUUUCGGAUCGUAAAACUCUGUUGGUAGAGAAGAACGUUGGUGAGAGUGGAAAGCUCAUCAAGUGACGGUAACUACACAGAAAGGGACGGCUAACUACGUG
Molecule: ribosomal RNA, 497 nt
Filed under: uncultured bacterium
Lineage: Bacteria
Description: partial 16S ribosomal RNA
Rfam family: Bacterial small subunit ribosomal RNA
Source: RNAcentral